GAAAGAAUUAGAAACUGUACAAAUGAGAUUUUGACAGACUUGAAAGGUGGGCCUGGGUGAACCUAAUGAGGUUGUGCUCUUGCAGCUCGGAAAGCAAAUGGUAUCCUGGGCUCCAUCAUGAGAGGGGUGGCCAGCAGAGACAGGGAGGUGAUUGUCCCUCUCUACUCUGCUCUUGUGAGGCCCCAUCUGGAGUACUGUGUCCAGGUAUGGAGCCCCCAGUACAAGAAAGAGAGCUGUUGGAGAGAGUCCAGAGGAGGGCCACAAAGAUGAUCAGGGGGCUGGAGCACCUCCCUUACGAGGACAGGCUGAGGAAGCUGGUCUUAUCCAGCCUGGAGAAGAGAAGGCUGCGGGGUGACCUCAUUGCAGCCUUUCAGUACCUGAAGGAAGCCUAUAAACAGAAAGGGAGUAAACUCUUUGAAAGGGUAGAUAACAGCAGGACAAGGGGGAACAGUUUUAAGUUGAAAGAGGGAAGAUUUAGGUUGGAUGUUAGGGGGAAGUUCUUUACCAGGAGAGUGGUGAGGUGCUGGAACAGGCUGCCCAGAGAGGUUGUGGAUGCCCCGUCCCUGGAGAUGUUCAAGGCCAGGUUGGAUGAAGCCCUGGGCAGCCUGGUCUAGUAAAUGGGGAGGUUGGUGGCCCUGCCCAGCAGGGGGUUGGAGGUUCAUGAUCCUUGAGGUCCCUUCCAACCCAGGCCAUUCUGUGAUUCUGUGACUUUAAAAUUAAAUAGUUUGGAGUUCCUCAAUAUUCUUUCAAUUACAAAACAGAAUUCUAUUAAUGUGUCCUAAAAUUUUAUUUUUAUAUAUAUUUUAAAAAGUGUUAAGUCACGUUCAAAGAUUCUGACAAAGCUCGUUAUCGCUGUCUUGGUUUUAGGCCCAUCCCCCUACCUUUUCCCUAUCUCCUUUCUUCUCUCCUGGGGUGGGGGUCCAUGGAUCCCCUCCAACCCAUUAGUCACGGAACUGGGCUGAACCAGCCCAAAAACCUUGACAAGAAAACAAGAAAAUUACUUUGCUUUGUAUUUUUUCACCUUGUCCUAUUUCUGUUUCAUUUGUUUGUGCACUGAGGUAGUUAUUCCACAGCUGUUCUCUAAUAUUGCAACAGAAUUACAAAAAAGAGUACAGAUGUUACCGGAAGAAAUCUCAAAUCUGACCCUGCCAGUACACAACAUAGAGCCACUGCUAAGUGAUCUCAGGAAACCACCUUCAAGUUUUGAAAUAGAUAACCUCUGUUGGUGCACAAGAAAAUAGCUAUGCAGGCUGUUUCUUCACCAGAUUUAUUUGCAAAGUAUGAAGAAAUCCUGUUGGUUGUGUGGGUGGAAGAAAGAUUUUUUUUUCCCUGUGCUUUGAUGACUGUUUACAUGAUACAGUUAUCCCCACACUGUACAAAAUAGCAGAGACUUGAUUUUAAUCUUAUUAAGUUUACUAUGCAUCAGUAUGCUUCAUGCAUGGCUUAGCAAUAGCUUGAUGCUAGCAUAGCCUUGGCAACAAGUCUAAUUUAGUUCCAAACUUCUUUUUUUCCUUUCUUUCUCCUGCACUGCUUACUGAUAUUCUCCAAAAUGAG
Molecule: long non-coding RNA, 1554 nt
Filed under: Gallus gallus (chicken)
Lineage: Eukaryota; Metazoa; Chordata; Aves; Galliformes; Phasianidae
Source: RNAcentral